GACGAACGUUGGCGGCGUGCUUAACACAUGCAAGUCGAACGGAAAGGCCCUGCUUUUGUGGGGUGCUCGAGUGGCGAACGGGUGAGUAACACGUGAGUAACCUGCCCUUGACUUUGGGAUAACUUCAGGAAACUGGGGCCAAUACCGGAUAGGAGCUCCUGCUGCAUGGUGGGGGUUGGAAAGUUUCGGCGGUUGGGGAUGGACUCGCGGCUUAUCAGCUUGUUGGUGGGGUAGUGGCUUACCAAGGCUUUGACGGGUAGCCGGCCUGAGAGGGUGACCGGCCACAUUGGGACUGAGAUACGGCCCAGACUCCUACGGGAGGCAGCAGUGGGGAAUAUUGCACAAUGGGCGGAAGCCUGAUGCAGCAACGCCGCGUGCGGGAUGACGGCCUUCGGGUUGUAAACCGCUUUCGCCUGUGACGAAGCGUGAGUGACGGUAAUGGGUAAAGAAGCACCGGCUAACUACGUGCCAGCAGCCGCGGUGAUACGUAGGGUGCGAGCGUUGUCCGGAUUUAUUGGGCGUAAAGGGCUCGUAGGUGGUUGAUCGCGUCGGAAGUGUAAUCUUGGGGCUUAACCCUGAGCGUGCUUUCGAUACGGGUUGACUUGAGGAAGGUAGGGGAGAAUGGAAUUCCUGGUGGAGCGGUGGAAUGCGCAGAUAUCAGGAGGAACACCAGUGGCGAAGGCGGUUCUCUGGGCCUUUCCUGACGCUGAGGAGCGAAAGCGUGGGGAGCGAACAGGCUUAGAUACCCUGGUAGUCCACGCUGUAAACGGUGGGUACUAGGUGUGGGGUCCAUUCCACGGGUUCCGUGCCGUAGCUAACGCUUUAAGUACCCCGCCUGGGGAGUACGGCCGCAAGGCUAAAACUCAAAGGAAUUGACGGGGCCCCGCACAAGCGGCGGAGCAUGCGGAUUAAUUCGAUGCAACGCGUAGAACCUUACCUGGGUUUGACAUGGAUCGGGAGUGCUCAGAGAUGGGUGUGCCUCUUUUGGGGUCGGUUCACAGGUGGUGCAUGCCUGUCGUCAGCUCGUGUCGUGAGAUGUUGGGUUAAGUCCCGCAACGAGCGCAACCCUUGUUCACUGUUGCCAGCACGUUAUGGUGGGGACUCAGUGGAGACCGCCGGGGUCAACUCGGAGGAAGGUGGGGGUGACGUCAAGUCAUCAUGCCCCUUAUGUCCAGGGCUUCACGCAUGCUACAAUGGCUGGUACAGAGAGUGGCGAGCCUGUGAGGGUGAGCGAAUCUCGGAAAGCCGGUCUCAGUUCGGAUUGGGGUCUGCAACUCGACCUCAUGAAGUCGGAGUCGCUAGUAAUCGCAGAUCAGCAACGCUGCGGUGAAUACGUUCCCGGG
This 1343-nucleotide ribosomal RNA is filed under the name uncultured bacterium. Its description in RNAcentral is "16S ribosomal RNA". It matches the Rfam family "Bacterial small subunit ribosomal RNA", at positions 28 to 1378 of the family's 1533-position model. The record is from RNAcentral.